This 987-nucleotide non-coding RNA is filed under the name Balearica regulorum gibbericeps (East African grey crowned-crane). RNAcentral describes it as "Balearica pavonina gibbericeps Eukaryotic large subunit ribosomal RNA". It matches the Rfam family "Eukaryotic large subunit ribosomal RNA", at positions 2022 to 2783 of the family's 3401-position model. The record is from Rfam by way of RNAcentral. Lineage: Eukaryota; Metazoa; Chordata; Aves; Gruiformes; Gruidae.
ACGGGAAAUGGCAUCAAGGCAAUUAUGAAUUACUUGCAGAGUUGAGACUCUCAAAUUCCCAACAGGAUAAAGUGGCUCAUUGUCUAUCGAAUCAAGCAUUAUUUACAUCAGUGGACAUUUUACACAUCUUUGUAAGUCAAGCGCGGUCUAUUGUAAGAUCCUGAAAAUUGUAAUGUAACUGUAGUGUGUGUUGUAAUUGUACUACUUAAUAAAUUGUGAAUAGAGUGUUGAGGGCCAUCACCUAGAGUGGAACUAACCUGCUCAUGACAGUUAGGGAUUAUAGUAUGUAGGGACAAUAUGGGACUCGAAAUCAUGACACGUCUUCUCUCUUAGUGAGAGAUAUAAAUUACCAAAUUUGACCAAAGUGGAUGGGCCACCUAUACUUAACCUGGAAAACGAACAAAUAUAAUUUUACAUGUGUUCGAUAAAUAGCCAAAUGCCUCAUCAUCUAAUUAGUGAUGUGCAUGAAUGGAUGAACAAGAUUCCCACUGGCCCUACCUACUAUCCAGCAAAACUACAGACAAGGGAAUGGGCUUGGUGGAAUCAGUGGGGAAAGAAGACCUUGUUGAGCUUGACUCUAGUCUGGUGCUGUGAAGAGACAUGAGAGGUGUAGAAUAAGUGGGAAGCCGGGCGCACGCUCAGUGGUGCGGGGCGACCCACCUGCCGGCGUCCUGGCCGUCGGUGAAAUACCACCACUCUGAUCGUUUUUUCACUUACCCGGUGAAGUGGGGGGGUGAUCCCUGAGGGGAGCUCUCGCUUCAGGUGCCAAGCACCUGACACGUGCCAGGCGCGACCUGCUCCAGGGACAGCGGCAGGUGGGGAGUUUGACUGGAGCGGUACACCUGUCAAAGCAUAACGCAGGUGUCCUAAGGCGAGCUCAGGGAGGACGGAAGCCUCCCGUGGAGCAGAAGGGCAAAAGCUCGCUUGAUCUUGAUUUUCAGUACGAAUACAGAUCAUGAAAGCGGGGCCUCACGAUCCUUCUGGCUU